RNAcentral lists this ribosomal RNA (216 nucleotides) under uncultured Glomus. RNAcentral's name for it is "partial small subunit ribosomal RNA". It matches the Rfam family "Eukaryotic small subunit ribosomal RNA", at positions 569 to 786 of the family's 1831-position model. Lineage: Eukaryota; Fungi; Glomeromycota; Glomeromycetes; Glomerales; Glomeraceae. The record is from RNAcentral.
AGCAGCCGCGGUAAUUCCAGCUCCAAUAGCGUAUAUUAAAGUUGUUGCAGUUAAAAAGCUCGUAGUUGAAUUUCGGGAUCAAUUCGUCGGUCGUGCUUUUUGGUACGUACUGGUGUUAUUGGUUUCUCCUUUCUGACGAUCCAUGAUGUCAUUAAUUUGGUGUUAUGGGGGUUCAGGACUGUUACUUUGAAAAAAUUAGAGUGUUUAAAGCAGGCA